GUGCUCGCUUCAGCAGCACAUAGACUAAAAUGGGAACGAUGCAGAGAUUAGCAUGGCCCCUGUGCAAGGAUGACAUGCAAAUUCAUGAAGCAUUCCAUAUUUGA
Jaculus jaculus (lesser Egyptian jerboa) is the source of this 104-nucleotide small nuclear RNA. NCBI's taxonomy places the organism in Eukaryota, Metazoa, Chordata, Mammalia, Rodentia, Dipodidae. The record is from Ensembl.